GUUCAGUUUUAAGAAUUUUGUAUAUAUUUUGAAUACAAAUUCUUUCUCAGAUCUGUAUUUUGCAAAAUUUUUUUUCAAUAUGUGGCUUGUCUUUUUGUUCCAUUAACAAGGUCUUUUCCAGAGUAUAAACUUUAAAUAUUAAGAAAUCCACGUUGUCAUUUCUUCUGCGUAUAUCAACCUUUUGUGUCAUUUGUUAAAAUUCAUUAACAAACCCAAAGGCACAUAGCUUUUCUUGUAUAGUUUCUUCUAGAAAUUGUAUAGUUUUGCAUUUUUAGUGUAAGGAUGAUUUUGAGUGAUUAUUUGUGUAAGUUGUAAAGUUUUCAUCUACAUGCAUAUCAUUUCCUAUGGUUUCCAGUAAUCAUUCCCUCACUAUUUUUGGGAAAGACACAGGAUAGUGGGCUCUGUUAGAGCAGAUAGAUGGCUAGACAUGAACAGGAGGGGGAGCUCCUGGAAAAGGGAAAGUCUGGGAAGGCUCACCUGGAGCGACCACCAAAAAUUCACAUUUAGUGGCAUCUGUAAUGCUAGAGUGGAUAGACACUUGUCAGUUGUGGGUAGGAGGGAGAAGAGGUACCUAUGCAGAAAGAAACACCCUAUAAAUCCUCUUAAGAUGCCCCAAUCAUCAUUCACUCUGCAGUAAUAAUGUGACAAUAUUGCUAGAUACAUGCUGAUAAGGACAAAGGGGACAGUCUUAAAAGAAACCUGGCACCAUAAGUACAGAUUAGGGCAGAGAAGCACAUUCAAAAGAGAUAGACGCAGUAGGUACAAAUGUGACUGCUGUCAGCCUGCCCGGGAUGGCGGGAAGGAGCCUGGUGCCAGAGUGGAUUCCAACCGAUCACCACACAUGUGCCUCAACCAACAGUGAGGAGGUCCCACAAGCCUAAGUGGGGCAAGUUGGGGACCUAAGGCAGUAGCAGGAAAACCAGACAAAGAAAACUGCUGGACACUUGAGACAGAGGCAGGAAUGUGAAGAAGUCCAAAAUAAAAUUCCCUGCACAGGACUCUUACGCUGCUUUCCUGCAUGAUCAGCCUACUCCUCUCUAUUUUUCUACAAUAAGCUCUUCACACUGUAUUUUUUUCAAUGAAGUUGUCUGCCAUCUCUGUAUUGUCCCUUGGUGAAAAUCUUUCUUCCAAGUUAGACAAGAACUGGGACAUCCAUUUCCAGAACUGAUGGCACUUAAUAACUGGCGCUCCAACUUUAAGUGGUGCAGAAGGUGGCCUUUAGGGGGCGCCAGCCGUCACACUUGGAGCAAGAGGGCCCUGCAUAGUCCCCAUCUCCCUGCAGGUGUUGUGCUGCGACGACACUGCCAGCAAGAGGGCCGGGCAGUGUCCCCAGCUGCUAGCAGGGGGCGUACGACGGGUAUACUGUGAGCAAAAGGACCCUGCAGUGUCCCUAGCUGCCAGCAGGUGGCGCACGGGCACCACACCAUGAGCAAGAGGAUCCUACAGUGUCCUGGUUGGCAGCAGGGGGCGUGCUGCCACCACACUGAGCAAGAGGAUCCUGUAGUGCCCCCAGCGGCCAGAAGGGGGCGUGCCCUACUACAAGGCAAGCAAGAGGGCCCGGCAGUGUCCCCAGCUGCCAGCUGCGGAGCCAGCCGCCACUUCACUUGGAGCAAGAGGGCCGGGCAGUGUCCCCAGCUGCCAGCAUCGGGAGUGCUGCUACUACACUGAGCAAGAGAGCCCUGCAACGUCCCCAACUGCCAGCAGGUGGCGUGCCAUCACUAUACUGCGAGCAAGAGGGCCCUGCAGUGCCCCGGCGCCAGCAGGGGGCGCUGGCCACCACUGUAAGGAAGAGCGCCCUGCAGUUGCUCUAGUCGCCAGCAGGGGGCGCACUUGCACAGCACUGUGAGCAAGAGGGCCCUGUAGUGCGCAGCUGCAAGCAGGGGUCGCCGGAGCCCGGCUUUUCAGAUUACUGAUGUUUCGCCCGUCUCUGCGCCCCUCCCCUCGCGGCGUGCGUCUCUGCCCCUGCACCCCGCCCCUUCAGGCCCACGCGGUGUGCGUCUCUGCGCCUGCACCACGACCCUCCCCCCGCCACCGCGCGGGCGUGCGACUCUGCGCUUGCGCCAGCCUGGGCCACGCCUGGCUUAGGACUCUGCGCCUGAGCUGCGCCGGCGUGCGACUCUGCGCCUGCCCUGGCGUGCGACUGUGCGCCAGCGCCGGCGCUGUACGUUUGUGAGGGCGGAGCUGCAUUCUCCUCAGCCCAGACACUGAGAGCAUCCCGAGGGCGGAGCUGUGUUCUCCUCUGCACAGACCUCGGGGGUACCGUGAAGACAGAGCAGCGUUCUACUCUGCCCAGACCCUGGCGUGGGGGGCACCGCGAGGGCGGAGCUGCGUUGUGCUCAGCACAGACGUUGGCGGCACCGCCUCGCUUUGGGACAACUCGGGGCCGCAUCCACAGUGAAUAAAAUACUUCCUGUUUCUAGCCCUGAAUAACGAAGAUUUCAGAGGAGAGCCUGGUGUCACUUACAGCAGACAUUGCAGAUGCCUCAGCAUUUCAGAUGAAGACGGUAAAGACCUUCUUUGUUUCAUAAAAACCUUUGUUUUCCAGGGGAGAAAACACAGGUUGGAUCUAAACUCAAUCCUCCUACUGAAAUAUUUUAAUGACACUGAAAGAGGUUGUUGCAUUUGGCAGGUGCAGGUGGAGCUGUGCGGUCCUGCACUGAAGCCCUGCAGUCCUGACUUCUGAGUGGAGCUAGAGGAGAAUUAUAUUAAUGUGUUUGCACUACUUGCUCAAUUGUAAAGCAUAACAAAUAUAUUUAACGCAUGUUUUUUAAAUGAGAAUAAAAUAGUUUAACAAUGUUUACAUACCUAUUUUAGUUAUUACAUUCUCUAAUCUAUUUUUAUCCUCACACCAUGAAAGCGCUCCACCAUCUCCAUUUCAGAAAGUAGACAGUAACUGAACAACACUAUCUUCUUUUAAAAAACAUUUAUUUCAUUAUGAAAGUUUAUGGUUUAUGUAAUUAAUACCUUUUUGUGGUCUGCAUUCAAUUGGUGUGGGCAUCUGCACACUGUCGUGGGUCCACCGUUGUGAAAUCGCACACAGUGGUCUCACUGCCCUAAACAGCCAGGGCUCUCUGUCCAUCCAUCCUUUCCUCUCCCCAACCCCUGUCAACCACUGAUUAUUUUGCUAUCUAUGUAAUUUUCCCUUUUCCAAAAUGUCACAUAAUGCCCACAGCAAUGAAUGCGAGUUUCUUUUGCUCCACAUCCUCACCAGCAUUUGGUGUUUUUGGUCUUGUGGAUUUUGGCCAUUCUAAUAGGUAUGUAGUGGUAUCUUACUGUUGUCUUAAUUGUCAAUUCCUAAUAACACAUUGUACAGAGCAUCUUUUCAUAUACUUAAUUUCCAUCUGCAUAUCUGUUCAGCUUUUGCCCGUUUUUAAUUGGGUUAUUUGUUUUCUUAUUGAGUUUUAAGAGUUCUUUGCAUAUUUCAGAUAUGAAUCCUUAGAUAUAUUUUGCAAAUAUUUUCUCACAGUCUCUGGUUUGUCUUUUUAUUCUCUUAACAGUAUCUUUCACAAAAGUAAAGUUUUUUUAUGUUAAAGUUCAACUUUCCAAUAUUUUUCUUCGUGGAUAAUGCUUUUGCUAUUGUAUCUAAAAGAAUCACCAAAUCCGAGGUUAUCUAGAGUUUUUCCUUAUGUUAUCUUCUAGGAGUUUGAAAAUUUUGCAUUUAAUAUAUUGAUCUAAUAUCUACUUUGCAUUAACUUUUGUAAAAGGUGUAAGGUCUGUUUAUAGAUUCUUUUUUUUUUUUUUUUUUUUGCACAUGGAUGUCCAUUUGUUCCAGCACCGUUUGUUAAAAAGACUCUCCUCUCUCCAUUGAAUUGCCUUUACUCCUUUGUCAGAGAUCAGCUGGCUGUAUUUCAGUGUGUUUCUGGGCUCUUUGUUUUGUUUCACUGAUGUAUGUGUAUAUGUCUUCUGUUUUGCCUUCAGUUUUGUAAUUGCUACAUCAAUGUAAUUGCUACCUCAAUUUGCUUAUGAAUUCUCAUUUGUAAACAGAAAAGCAUAAAUUAAUGCCUGAGUACAUUUUAGGGUAGAUGUUGCCUUGAAUACAAUGAGCAGAUGAGUUAUAAUUUUAAAGUGAAUAUAAAAAUUUGACCAUAGUGGUAAAAGAUUUGCGAACUAGUGAUAUCAAUGACAGAGUCCAUUGCAAUAUUGCUUCAUCCUUUGGCUCAGCUCUGCUUCACACCAGGUAAGUACCAAUCCCUUUUGUGAUUCAUUCAAGGAUUUCUGUGGGGUGGAAAGUAGAAAUAUGAUAUCAGUGGAGGGAGAGAAGGCAGUUUCCCAGACUGGGAGCAGUCAGAUCUCCAGUGGGUCCCAACACUGCUCUGUGGCAAUACCUAGAGGGUGAUGGAAACAGAGACAGGGUGCAAAUAAGGUGGGUGCUGGCCCUAGGGUUCCCAGUGUUUUCUGGUUCCCAUGGUCUAUAAGACGUCCAAAAUGAGACCUUCUGGGCUUUGGGGGGCCCCCUGUGGAAUUGGAAAAUGAGGAAGUGAGCAGUGACAAUCUAGACUCAUUAUUAGAGGUACAUCUCUCAUUUUUCAGCAACCAAGGAGCCUUCGAUUAGUAGUGAAAUUGUGGCACCCCAACAAUGGUGGAGUGGAAUGUCCUGCUACUCUGGAGGGGUGAUGGCUCAGGGUCGAGACUGAACUAAUUAGAAAAAAGAAUGCACUCCAGGAAUAUCAAGUCCAAAACGAAGCUCUUCAAACCAUCUGGGAAGAGAAAACAGCAUGACAAGGAAAGGUAUAUUUGUCUGAUCCCAGGAAUCAAUAUAAACAUCCAUGAUAACCCCACCUAUUUUUUAAAUAUAUGAUUUGGAUGAAACAAGAGAAAGAGACUGAUUGUUGCUGAGUCCCUGCUGCAGUCUCGACACAGCUGGAGAUGCCCUGCUCCCCUGCUCCCCUGCUCCCCUGCUCUCCUGCUCUCCUGCUCUCUUUAUUUUGUUGAUGCUCAUGAGGACCCUGAUGUCUGAGGAAGAAGGUUCCCGUCCAGCUGUGCCCCUGGUGUGUCACGUGCCAGCCUUGUCAACGCACACGAGAACCUGACAGGGUGAGUGUUAUAACCCCAGUCAUAGAAAAGGAAACGUCUCUAAAGUCCUUAGCAUCUUGCCCGAGUUCGGACACUUAGCAGAGGCCUGAGUUUAGAUGUAGCCCCGUCUUGCUCUUUGACAGCCUCAGCACCACGUGCCCUGGGUGACCCACGAAGUGAGUCACUGACAACCCUCGUGGUUGGCUCAUGGCACAGCGUGGAGCGAAAUGGCCCACUGACCUCUCCAGACACUUGGACAAUUCGUGAUAUAGUUUAUGCGGUCACUCCCAGUGAGUUCUAUUGUUCAGUUUAAUAGAAUACCUAAUUCUGUGUUUAUUAUGAAUAAAGGGAGAUUUCUUGUGGUUUUUAAGAAUAUGAAGCAUAUCUAUUUUGUAUACAAGUUGGAAGUUCCAAUACUAUAGGAAGCAUAAGUGCAGGUUAUAAUGAUGGGUCUUUUAUGAGACUGAAUUCACAUCAAACUGAAUCAGUAACUCCGGCUGUAUGAACAGGGUGAGACAUUAAACAUUUAAUGAAAAGAAUUCCUUUCUUAGGUCACAGCAAGGACUAAAUGUGUCUAAUUAUCAUGCCCGCUAAGAAGAUGUAUUGUGAUAUUUGCAGUUAAUCACUCAUUCAGUUCCAAGGGUAUCUAUUAAUUGUCUGCUCUGGGCAUAACAACAAUUGGAAGCAGUAUGUUCACAUGAAAAAAAAACUUACCUGAGGCUCUAAGUCACAACUUUCCAUGACCAGCACACAUUUCUGAUUUGAAAUACAUAUCUAAAGCUUCAAAUGCAUAAAUAGAUAUCCCAAUCUAGAACUAAGUUAAUAGUUGCUUAGAAUUAAUUGUUUAAAUUAUCCUGGGAAUCAGAAAGGUAUGUCUACAUGAAACAAUAAAGGUUAUGUUAGAAUUAAUAAACUUUAGAAGACCAUUUUAAUCUUAAUAUAUAAGCAUACUACCUAGGCACACUGUUUAAAUACAUCCGCAACCUACUAUUUUUAGAUUUAGGUAAAUCAUUAAUCCUUAAAUUUGGAAGAUUCCAGUGUUAGAGCUCUAGACUAUGAAACUUGGAUGUUUUUCUAAAAUUUUUGAGUUUUUAUCCAGAAAUACAUAUUUUCCUGGUACUGAGAACUGCAAGAAAUUUCACUUGGAGUCUCCAAAUAGUCAACCAUGUGUGAUGUCAACAUCAGUGUAAUAGAUACUAUCACAAACA
Non-coding RNA from Macaca mulatta (Rhesus monkey), 6221 nucleotides. NCBI's taxonomy places the organism in Eukaryota, Metazoa, Chordata, Mammalia, Primates, Cercopithecidae. The record is from RefSeq and is a predicted model, not a curated record.